GGGGAUGUAGUUCAGUGGUAGAGCUGUUGCCUAAUAUGUAAGUUCCUGGGUUCAACCCCUACUAUCACCA
RNAcentral lists this transfer RNA (70 nucleotides) under Cavia porcellus (domestic guinea pig). It matches the Rfam family "tRNA". Rfam says of the family: Transfer RNA (tRNA) molecules are approximately 80 nucleotides in length. Their secondary structure includes four short double-helical elements and three loops (D, anti-codon, and T loops). Further hydrogen bonds mediate the characteristic L-shaped molecular structure. tRNAs have two regions of fundamental functional importance: the anti-codon, which is responsible for specific mRNA codon recognition, and the 3' end, to which the tRNAs corresponding amino acid is attached (by aminoacyl-tRNA synthetases). tRNAs cope with the degeneracy of the genetic code in two manners: having more than one tRNA (with a specific anti-codon) for a particular amino acid; and 'wobble' base-pairing, i.e. permitting non-standard base-pairing at the 3rd anti-codon position. Lineage: Eukaryota; Metazoa; Chordata; Mammalia; Rodentia; Caviidae. The record is from Rfam by way of RNAcentral.